Molecule: long non-coding RNA, 2046 nt
Organism: Betta splendens (Siamese fighting fish)
Lineage: Eukaryota; Metazoa; Chordata; Actinopteri; Anabantiformes; Osphronemidae
Exons: 2
Source: RefSeq, a predicted model, not a curated record
UGUGUGUGUGUGUGUGUGUGUGUGUGUGUGUGUGUGUGUGUUGGGGGGGUUGUAACACAACCACUUUGCUCCUGCAUGUUUCAACCUGCUGAUAAGACAGUCCUGAAAUCCCAGUCACACACUUCCUUAUGAGACGUGUGGUCGUUGCUCCUGUUGCCAGACUCGAUUUAAGGAGGAACUAAGCGCGUUUAAAGCAGAAAAGCGGCCGACUCGAAGGGGAAUGACGUCGUCGUUCACCUACGGGCGAAGGGACGCGUCGCUUGGGGGCUGAACGGGACCUCGGGUCUCCAGGACGGCACCGGGCGUGAGCGCUGAAGGCCCGGAGGCGGCAGCGGAGCGACCUUCUGAGGAGCAUAAAGCACACACUGUGGCUGUGGGUGAAGCGCGGGGAGGUUCCUCUGAUAACAUUACCCGGCGGUGGAGCCGAUCUACACGACGCGCGUUGAGAAAAACAACAAAAAAAAAAAACGAUAAGAGUCAGGGUUUGAUUCCCUGCAGAACGUUCCUCCUGGACACCGUCACUUGUUGUGCGACAUGCGGUCGGGGAACAUUCACGAGCACAACCAGGUGUGCGCAAACGCCCCAAGGCUUUAGAAACAGUGAGCGAGAGGCGGUGGGUGGGGCACGCUCAUUCCUGGAGGCCUCUGCAGCUACUGAAGUGACUUCACAUCUGCAGAGGAAGUCAGGUGGACUCGAACGGACCCACGGCGCAAAGGAGGAACACUCGCGUGAAGCCGCGUUUCCCAGAAUGCUUUGUGCACCUUUAUGACAGAUUAUUAUAGUUUCCUCCUUCUUGCUUCUGCAUUACUGGACUCCAACUGGUUUCCAGUCCCCUGCUGUGGUUCACACUUAUUUAAAAGCUCAUUAGGGGGACGUGGAAACCUGCGCGGACACUUAAACUGUAGGUGUGUGACACAAACAGGCAACAGGCGCGUCCAUCGGCUCUGACGAAACCCCUACUUGCAGGAAGCCGAGGUUUGAGUUUGAACUACAGGGCAGAGGAGCGUCUGCACACGAGGAAGCUGAGCGGCUUCUUCCUCCUGUACCGAAUGAAAUGAAUGGAAGCUACGUGACAUUUAAUGAACACGCACACACACACGCGCACAUUUGCAUUCUGGCCAUGCAGCGGCCGUGUCCCCGCUCCGGGAGCUUCUACCUGGGCCGCUCGUCGCUUUGCAUUCCUGUUACAUUUGCGUAAACGUGAGUUUCCUGCAGGGCCGUGUGCGCGACCCGGUGCCGCGGCCUCGGCCGCCGAGAACCGAGUCCGCACGCGCGCUCCGGAUUUCAGCACGCGGCAGAGGAAGAAGUUGACAGAGGGGCGACACCACGUCAGUUAGAGCCGCGGAGAGAGUGCGAGGAUCGACCCAUAUGGGACUCAGUAAAAAGUGAGAAGUAGCGUGUGGCACGUACCCCAAAGUGCUGAUGAAGCCAUUGACCGAGCCUUCCGCGUACAGAGACACGAUGUCUCCGAUGUGGAGGAAACUGGACCUGUGCUCUGACAUUUUCACCGCGCACCCGGUUCCAUUUAGACGCGAACGACGCCGCCGCUCUUCGCUGGAGUGGAUCCCACGUUACAGCGCCUCCACUUCGGCCGCAGCCGUCCUCGAACUGGUCACCUUCAUUCCUCCAGGUCUACGUGGGCUGAGGGGGGUGGAAAGGAAGGCAAAGUGCAAAACACACAGCGUGCGGGCGGAUUCCCCGAAAACGCAGCUUUUUUUUUCUGACACUUGUUCAACUUCUUCCUGUAUUUCUGUGAGAGCAGAGAGAGAGAGGGCUCUUCUUCACAUCCACUUCAGGGGGAGGAGACUGCUCCUGUCAGGGCUGUGAGCAAAUUCCGCUCAGUGACAUGUUUGUGUUGUUCAAUAAAAGGAAGCGCCGCGAUCAAUAACGCAUUGCUGAUCCGUGAUAAACACGAACGCGAAGAUCAAAAAGGGGAAGCGUCACGUUGAACGGGCCACAGCGGACGCAGCCGGCGCUGCCUGAGAACACGCCAGAUGUUUGUAAUUAUACACAUUGUAGCAGUUCGGCAUUAAACAAACAGACGAG